AACGAACGCUGGCGGCAUGCCUAACACAUGCAAGUCGAACGAGACCUUCGGGUCUAGUGGCGCACGGGUGCGUAACGCGUGGGAACCUGCCCUUAGGUUCGGAAUAACUCCCCGAAAGGGGUGCUAAUACCGGAUAAUGUCUUCGGACCAAAGAUUUAUCGCCUUUGGAUGGGCCCGCGUUGGAUUAGCUAGUUGGUAGGGUAAAAGCCUACCAAGGCGACGAUCCAUAGCUGGUCUGAGAGGAUGAUCAGCCACACUGGGACUGAGACACGGCCCAGACUCCUACGGGAUGCAGCAGUGGGGAAUAUUGGACAAUGGGCGAAGGCCUGAUCCAGCAAGGCCGGGUGAGUGAUGAAGGCCUUAGGGUUGUAAAGCUCUUUUACCCGGGAUGAUAAUGACAGUACCGGGAGAAUAAGCACCGGCUAACUCCGUG
Molecule: ribosomal RNA, 433 nt
Filed under: uncultured bacterium
Lineage: Bacteria
Description: partial 16S ribosomal RNA
Rfam family: Bacterial small subunit ribosomal RNA
Source: RNAcentral